This 663-nucleotide ribosomal RNA is filed under the name Dimelaena oreina. RNAcentral's name for it is "SSU rRNA". It matches the Rfam family "Bacterial small subunit ribosomal RNA", at positions 371 to 1118 of the family's 1533-position model. Lineage: Eukaryota; Fungi; Ascomycota; Lecanoromycetes; Caliciales; Caliciaceae. The record is from RNAcentral.
UAUAGCGAAAGCUAGUUGUAUUAACUAUUAGUUAAUGCAAGAUCGAUUAUGUCGACUAAAGUUCUAGGUAGAAUAAUGAUGAUGACAAUUUUCUACCUAUAUGUCUUGACCAAGUCUCGUGCCAGCAGUCGCGGUAAUACGUGGAAGACUAGUGUUAUUCAUCUUUAAUAGGUUUAAAGGGUACCUAGACGGUAUUUCUAGCCCAAAAUAGGGUACGGAUUUACUAGAGUUUUAUGUGAGGAGGGGAGUACUCGUGGAGUAGAGAUGAAAUUUUGUGAUACUACGAGGAAACUGGUGGCGGCGAAAGCAACCUUCUAUGUAUAAACUGACGUUGAGGGACGAAGGCUUGGGUAGCAAAUAGGAUUAGAUACCCUAGUAGUCCAAGCAGACAAUUCUGAAUGCCAUAGAUUAGAUUAUUUUUGGUCUAUAAAUGAAAGUGUAAGCAUUCCACCUUAAGAGUAAUGUGGCAACACAGGAACUGAAAUCAUUAGACCGUUUCUGAAACCAGUAGUGAAGUAUGUUAUUUAAUUUGUUGGUCCUCAAAAAACCUUACCACAACUUGAAUAUUAUUCAAUUAAUACAAGCGUUGCACGGCUGUCUUCAGUUAAUGUCGUGAGAUUUUGGUUAACUCCAUUAAUUAACGUAAACCCUUACUUUAUUUAU